GUUGACCUCGGAUCAGGUAGGGAUACCCGCUGAACUUAAGCAUAUCAUAG
Molecule: ribosomal RNA, 50 nt
Filed under: Acrodontium crateriforme
Lineage: Eukaryota; Fungi; Ascomycota; Dothideomycetes; Mycosphaerellales; Teratosphaeriaceae
Description: partial 28S ribosomal RNA
Source: RNAcentral